RNAcentral lists this ribosomal RNA (253 nucleotides) under uncultured bacterium. RNAcentral's name for it is "partial 16S ribosomal RNA". It matches the Rfam family "Bacterial small subunit ribosomal RNA", at positions 524 to 776 of the family's 1533-position model. The record is from RNAcentral.
UACAGAGGGAGCGAGCGUUGUCCGGAAUCACUGGGCGUAAAGGGCGCGUAGGUGGCGCUCCAAGUCCAUGGUGAAAGCUCGAUGCUCAACAUCGAGUCGGCCACGGAUACUGGAGGGCUGGAGCACUGUAGGGGCAGAUGGAAUUCCGGGUGUAGCGGUGGAAUGCGUAGAGAUCCGGAAGAACACCGGUGGCGAAGGCGGUCUGCUGGGCAGUUGCUGACACUGAGGCGCGACAGCGUGGGGAGCAAACAGG